This 1528-nucleotide long non-coding RNA is filed under the name Homo sapiens (human). Its description in RNAcentral is "non-protein coding lnc-INSL4-8:1". Lineage: Eukaryota; Metazoa; Chordata; Mammalia; Primates; Hominidae. The record is from RNAcentral.
AUGUUCAUCAAUUGUUGAUUGUUUUCAACCAAUCACAAAGCUAUCGGAACACUAUACCUGCUGUUCGGCGCAUGAGUGGGGAUAGUGGGUACCUCCUUAAGCCUUCUAAUUUGAGCAGAAUUAGGUCAACCAGGAACUCUGCUAGGAGAUGACCAGAUCUAUAAUGUUAUUGUUACCGCCCACGAAUUUGUCAUAAUCUUCUUUAUGGUCAUAUCAAUUAUAAUUGGGGGUUUCGGCAACUAACUAGUCCCUCUGAUAAUUGCUGCCCCUGAUAUGGCAUUUCCACGGAUAAAUAAUAAUGAGCUUUUUACUUCUCCCCCACUCUUUCCUACUCCUACUUGCAUCCUCAAUAGAAGCCGGUGCUGGAACUGGCUGAACAGUUUAUCCCCCUUUAGCUGAAAACCUAACACAUGCAGGAUCCUUUGUGGGUCUUACCAUCUUCUCACUUCACUUGGCAGGUAUUCUAUUUUAGGAGCCAUUAACUUUAUUACUACAAUUAUUAACAAAAAGCCCCCAGCCAUAUCCCAAUAUCAAACACCCCUUUUCGUCCAACCAUUCCUCAUUACAGCAAUCCUACUCCUUUCUCUCUCAGUCCUAGCCGCUGGCAUUACCACAAUAUUAACUGACCGUAACCUCAACACUACUUUUUGACCCUGCUGGUGGGGGUGAUCCUAUCUUAUAUCAACAUUUAUUCUGAUUCUUUGGUCACCCUGAAGUUUAUAUCCUUAUUCUAUCAGGCUUUGGGAUGAUCUCCCAUGUCGUGACGUAUUACUCUGGAAAAAAGGAGCCAUUUGGGUAUAUGGGCAUAGUAUGAGCCAUAAUAUCUAUUGGCUUCUUAGGGUUUAUUGUAUGAGCACACCAUAUAUUUACAGUAGGAACAGACAUAGACACAGACACAUGAGCAUACUUCACCUCCGCUACCAUAAUUACUGCUAUGCCUACUGGCAUCAAGGUCUUUAGCUGAUUAGCUACACUGCGUGGUGGUAACAUCAAAUGAUCUCCCGCAAUGUUCUGAGCCCUAGGAUUCAUCUUUCUUUUCACAGUAGGAGGUCUAAUUGGCAUUGUACUAGCUAAUUCAUCACUAGAUAUUAUUUUACAUGAUACAUACUAUGUUGUAGCUCAUUUCCACUACGUCCUAUCACCAGGAGCGGUGUUCGCCAUCAUAGGAGGCUUUACCACUGGUUCCCCCAUUCUCAGGUUAUAUGCUUAAUCAGACCUACGCUAAAAUUCACUUCACCAUUAUAUUCAUAGGUGUUAAUUUAACCUUUUUCCCACAGCACUUCCUUGGCCUAUCCGGUAUGCCGCAACGUUAUUCCGAUUAUCCUGAUGCAUACACCGCAUGAAAUAUUAUCUCAUCCUUAGGCUCAUUUAUCUCAUUAGCAGCAGUUAUGCUAACAAUUUUUAUAAUCUGAGAAGCCUUUGUUUCGAAAAGAAAAACUAUAACAAUUGAACAACCAUCUAGUAAUUUAGAGUGACUUUAUGGCUGUCCACCACCUUACCACACAUUUGAAGAGCCAACCUACAUUAA